UCUCUCUGAUGCUCCAGAGCAAAGUCUGAGA
Molecule: non-coding RNA, 31 nt
Filed under: Rattus norvegicus (Norway rat)
Lineage: Eukaryota; Metazoa; Chordata; Mammalia; Rodentia; Muridae
Source: RNAcentral